UCGCCCUUAGAGUUUGAUCCUGGCUCAGGAUGAACGCUAGCUACAGGCUUAACACAUGCAAGUCGAGGGGAAACGAUAGAGAAAGCUUGCUUUUUCUAGGCGUCGACCGGCGCACGGGUGAGUAACGCGUAUCCAACCUGCCCAUCACUUGGGGAUAACCUUGCGAAAGUAAGACUAAUACCCAAUGAUAUCUCAAGAAGACAUCUGAAUGAGAUUAAAGAUUUAUCGGUGAUGGAUGGGGAUGCGUCUGAUUAGCUUGUUGGCGGGGUAACGGCCCACCAAGGCUACGAUCAGUAGGGGUUCUGAGAGGAAGGUCCCCCACAUUGGAACUGAGACACGGUCCAAACUCCUACGGGAGGCAGCAGUGAGGAAUAUUGGUCAAUGGGCGAGAGCCUGAACCAGCCAAGUAGCGUGCAGGAUGACGGCCCUAUGGGUUGUAAACUGCUUUUAUAAGGGAAUAAAGUGAGCCUCGUGAGGCUUUUUGCAUGUACCUUAUGAAUAAGGACCGGCUAAUUCCGUGCCAGCAGCCGCGGUAAUACGGAAGGUCCGGGCGUUAUCCGGAUUUAUUGGGUUUAAAGGGAGCGUAGGCCGGAGAUUAAGCGUGUUGUGAAAUGUAGAUGCUCAACAUCUGCACUGCAGCGCGAACUGGUUUCCUUGAGUACGCACAAAGUGGGCGGAAUUCGUGGUGUAGCGGUGAAAUGCUUAGAUAUCACGAAGAACUCCGAUUGCGAAGGCAGCUCACUGGAGCGCAACUGACGCUGAAGCUCGAAAGUGCGGGUAUCGAACAGGAUUAGAUACCCUGGUAGUCCGCACGGUAAACGAUGGAUGCCCGCUGUUGGUCUGAAUAGGUCAGCGGCCAAGCGAAAGCAUUAAGCAUCCCACCUGGGGAGUACGCCGGCAACGGUGAAACUCAAAGG
This 917-nucleotide ribosomal RNA is filed under the name uncultured bacterium. Its description in RNAcentral is "bacterial SSU rRNA". It matches the Rfam family "Bacterial small subunit ribosomal RNA", at positions 1 to 907 of the family's 1533-position model. The record is from RNAcentral.